AUUGAACGCUGGCGGCAGGCUUAACACAUACAAGUCGAGCGGGGUGAUGGUGCUUGCACUAUCACUUAGCGGCGGACGGGUGAGUAAUGCUUAGGAAUCUGCCUAUUAGUGGGGGACAACAUCUCGAAAGGGAUGCUAAUACCGCAUACGUCCUACGGGAGAAAGCAGGGGAUCACUUGUGACCUUGCGCUAAGAGAUGAGCCUAAGUCGGAUUAGCUAGUUGGUGGGGUAAAGGCCUACCAAGGCGACGAUCUGUAGCGGGUCUGAGAGGAUGAUCCGCCACACUGGGACUGAGACACGGCCCAGACUCCUACGGGAGGCAGCAGUGGGGAAUAUUGGACAAUGGGGGGAACCCUGAUCCAGCCAUGCCGCGUGUGUGAAGAAGGCCUUAUGGUUGUAAAGCACUUUAAGCGAGGAGGAGGCUCUUUUGGUUAAUACCCAAGAUGAGUGGACGUUACUCGCAGAAUAAGCACCGGCUAACUCUGUGCCAGCAGCCGCAGUAA
This 503-nucleotide ribosomal RNA is filed under the name uncultured bacterium. RNAcentral's name for it is "partial 16S ribosomal RNA". It matches the Rfam family "Bacterial small subunit ribosomal RNA", at positions 30 to 523 of the family's 1533-position model. The record is from RNAcentral.